UGCUAAAAAUUCCAUCUAUUUGUACUAUUAAAAAUUGUAAUAAGACAGUAAUAUAUGACGUGUCAUGUGUACAUCAUAAUGACAUACAUAGACUAAUUUUUAACUGUAAAAAUGGAUGAAAUUUUUAAUA
Molecule: non-coding RNA, 130 nt
Organism: Gossypium raimondii (Peruvian cotton)
Lineage: Eukaryota; Viridiplantae; Streptophyta; Magnoliopsida; Malvales; Malvaceae
Source: Rfam